UAAUACGAAUGGAGCGAGCGUUGUUCGGAAUCACUGGGCGUAAAGGGUGCGCAGGCGGUUAUGAAAGUCAGAAGUGAAAUCCCAGGGCUUAACCCUGGAAUUGCUUUUGAAACUCCAUGACUUGAGUAUUGGAGAGGUUAGCGGAAUUCCGAGUGUAGCAGUGAAAUGCGUAGAUAUUCGGAGGAACACCAAUGGCGUAGGCAGCUAACUGGACAAUUACUGACGCUCAUGCACGAAAGCGUGGGGAUCAAACAGG
RNAcentral lists this ribosomal RNA (256 nucleotides) under uncultured bacterium. RNAcentral describes it as "partial 16S ribosomal RNA". It matches the Rfam family "Bacterial small subunit ribosomal RNA", at positions 521 to 776 of the family's 1533-position model. The record is from RNAcentral.